GAUGAACGCUGGCGGCGUGCCUAAUACAUGCAAGUCGAGCGAACAGAUGAGGAGCUUGCUCCUCUGACGUUAGCGGCGGACGGGUGAGUAACACGUGGAUAACCUACCUAUAAGACUGGGAUAACUUCGGGAAACCGGAGCUAAUACCGGAUAAUAUAUUGAACCGCAUGGUUCAAUAGUGAAAGACGGUUUUGCUGUCCCUUAUAGAUGGAUCCGCGCCGCAUUAGCUAGUUGGUAAGGUAACGGCUUACCAAGGCAACGAUGCGUAGCCGACCUGAGAGGGUGAUCGGCCACACUGGAACUGAGACACGGUCCAGACUCCUACGGGAGGCAGCAGUAGGGAAUCUUCCGCAAUGGGCGAAAGCUUGACGGAGCAACGCCGCGUGAGUGAUGAAGGUCUUCGGAUCGUAAAACUCUGUUAUUAGGGAAGAACAAAUGUGUAAGUAACUAUGCACGUCUUGACGGUACCUAAUCAGAAAGCCACGGCUAACUACGUG
RNAcentral lists this ribosomal RNA (497 nucleotides) under uncultured bacterium. RNAcentral describes it as "partial 16S ribosomal RNA". It matches the Rfam family "Bacterial small subunit ribosomal RNA", at positions 28 to 507 of the family's 1533-position model. The record is from RNAcentral.